UAGGCUUGCAGAAAAGUAGCAAAAAUAGAGAGAUCAAAUAUACGCUUCACUCAUUUUCCCUAAUGAUAAUAUCUUGCAUAACCAAAGUACAAUUAUCAAAACCAAGAGAUAUACUGGUACAAUACUAUUAACUAAAAUAUAGAUUUUAGGCCGGGCACAGUGGCUCACGCCUAUAAUCCCAGCACUUUGGGAGGCCAAGGCGAGCAGAUCACUUGAGGUCAGGAGUUUGAGACGAGCCUGGCCCACAUGGUGAAAUAUGGUCUGUACUAAAAAUACAAAAAAUUAGCUGGGCUUGGUGGCAUGCACCUGUAAUUCCACCUGCUUGGGAGGCUGAGGUGGGAGCACCGCUUGAACCCGGGAGGUGGAGGUUGCAGUGAGCCGAGAUCAGGUCACCGCACUGUAGCCUGGGUGACAGAAUGAGACCCUGUCUUGAAAAAUAAGUAAACAAAAAUAAAUAAAUAAUACAGAUUUUAUGGAAAUUUCGUCAGUUUGCCACUAACAUUCUUUUUCUGUCCUGGGAUCCAAUCCAAGAAUUUCACUUUGCAUUACUUGUCAUGUCUCCUUAGUCCCCUCUCAUCUGUGAUAGCAACUGAUCUUACCCUGUCUUUAAUGAAACUUGACAUUUUUUAAGAGUACCGGCCAGUUAUUUUGUAGAUUUUUCCUCAAAUCGUUUGUCUGAUGCUUUUCCAUAAUUAGAUUGAGUGCAUGCAUUUUCAGCCCUUCUCAGAGCAUGAUUCCGGGGGGGGGUCUUAUGAUGUUGGUAUCCAACAUUAUUGCUGGUGAAGUUAACCUUAGUCGCUGUGUUAGCCAGCUUUCUCCACUGUAACGUUGUAAUUUUUCUCUUUGUAAUGAAUAUUUAUCUUAGAGUAGAUGCUUUUGUUUUUUGAGACAGGGUCUCACUUUGUCACCCAGGCUGGAGUGCAGUGGCACAAUCUCAGCUCACUGCAGCCUCAACCUCUGGGGGGUCAAGCAAUCCUCCUGCCUUAGUCCCCACAAGUAGCUGGACUACAGGGGCCUGCCACCACGCCCAGCUAAUGUUUUUGUACUUUUUAAAGAGACAGGGUUUUGCCGUGUUGCCCAGGCUGAUCUCAAACUCCUGAGCUCAAGUGAUCUGCCCACCUCAGCCUUUCAAAGUGCUAUGAUUACAGGCGUGAGCCAGUGCACCCAGCCUUAAAAAUAAAUGUGAUUAUAUAUACUUAAGGCAUACAACAUAAUGUUAUGGGAUACAUAUAGAUAGUAAAAUGGUUACUAUGUAAGCGCAUAUAAAUAUUUUUAUGUUCACUAAUGUGAAACAAUAAAGACAGCAAGCCAAAUGAAGAUAAUGUUAAUGGCAUUUCACACAUCUUAAAUUAGUAAUAACAGGUUACUAUAUAAUUAAUUCCAUUUCCAUCCUUUGCUUGCUAAACGUUUUUCAGGAUCUCCCUUUCCUGAAUAUUCAUUAGAUGCUUUACUGUGUGCCUUGCUUUAUUGCAGAUGGCAACCAAACACAAAGAAGUUUUCUGAGUUUUUUUAUUUUUGUUUUGCUGGAGUUUUUUUGUAUAUCUAUAUCUAGUCCCCUAGCCAACUGUUUUUAAACCUUUUAUGUCCUAGCACAGAGAAAAAAGUAGGAUGAACUAGAAGGUGUUUGUGGAUGUCCAUAUGGGGCUUGGUUAAAAAAAAUACAGUUGUGAGAAAAAUACAGGGUAUCAAAUUUGAAUGAAACCCAGAUACAAUAUUUUCAGAUAUUUCAAUUUGAAAUUUGAGCUUACAUAUUUAACCUAAAUGUUUUUCCUUUCCUUGCAUUGACAAAUGUAUUAUUGAAAUUCUUAUAAUAAUCUGAAGGAAUUUUGGAAUUUAGGUUUAGCUUAUCAAAUAUUUCUUGCCAAGUGCACAAGUAUUACAGCUGCCACCCCACAGGUAGUUGGAUGUCACUAAAAGGGCACAUCAGGAGCAAAUGAACAGAAAGAUCCCAUAAGCAUGAAGACAAAUGUGCCCAGUCAGCUGGACCCAUUCGGCCUAGCAUCGCUCCCAGCCUCACCCACUGACUCUUCCAGAAGCUCCAUGGACCACUUGUCCACAAGGGGCAGCAGUGAGUUCUGCAGCGGACUGAAGAAAUCCAUAGCUGGCAGUGAGGGAGGGCUUCUCUUUGGCCACGCUCAGUUUCACACGCUGUGGCCAGCACUUGUGUCUUCAGCUUCAGGAAUAACAGAGCCUACCCCAGAGCUCUCAGAGCCCACCCUGCCCAUGUAAACAGCGAAUGCAUCUCUGAUGUUAUCACUGUCUUCCAUAUCAGAGUGUGUCGCACAGAAACAUAGUCACUAGAAUAACUGUGGUGGUAACCAUAAUUUAAUUUAGAUGGUAAAUUAUCUCCCUAAAACCCAAGGUUAAGACUUUAGUUCCUCCAACCAUAAUUUCAACCCAAGCGCCUGCCAGCAACCCUUUAUACACACAGCCUGUCCCACUUCUCCAUCUUCACAAAGAUGUGGUACAUUUCUAGGUUACGCCCGGGUUUUCUUUCUUCCUCUUCCUUUAUCCCUCUGAAGCCAUCUUGGGCAAACCAUUACUUCUGCCCCGGAGUUCAUCUCCAUUUCCUAGGCCUAGUCCUAAUGCUGGCCUUGUCCAGUUAUCCUCAACAUGAGUUGCAACUGGGAAAAAGGUAUACAGAAGUAAAUUUGCACGUACUGAAAUUCUACUUGCUGUCAACUUAACUAAGAAUCAAUUACUGUUCACAGACAAUUUACAGCAAAAUAAGUGACUAUAAUUCAAACACACUUUCUGAUCAAUAGCAUUUGGAGAAAACUGAUACAGUUUUAGUGCUUUUACUUUACUAUUCUACUUUCUGCUAACAUCCCAUUAACGGAAAUGGUUUUUAAACAAUAGAAUGUCUUUGUUGAACACUCUCUUACAAAUUUUCGAUAAUGUGCCCAGCUUCUGGCUGCUUCUUCAGAGACUCCUCUCCUGACCCUCCUUCCCUCCUUUUUCCCAAAGCCUCAGCUUUCAAGUCCUAGAGAUGAGUGAGCCCUGGGAGUCACAUUCAAUAGAAAAGUAUAUACUUUUCAGAGCAUAUGCUUUUCUGGAGUUCGGAAGGGAAAUUCAUUUUUAAAAUCCAAUAGUUAUUUUCUUUUUCUGUCUCUCAUUUUGAAGUUUGAUGCAAUAAUUAACUUCUGUCUUUGUUCUGAGGGAACUCAGAUCCAGCUUCAGUUCCUUGUGAAAACAGCGUUUAAAAUUUGCAAUUCCUCAUGCUACCCAGUUUUGAAUAGAAGAAUAUGGAUAUCCUAGUCGUCUUCCACAACACAGAAAUCUCUUCAUGUUUCUCCUCCUGAGGGAUAGGAUAGCUUUGAGAUAUGAAUUAAGUUUCGAAAGAAAAUAACUGAAGAAGUCGUUGAGUAAAGGAAGAAGAGCUAUAAGGGUGAAGCUGAAGCCCAAGCUUCCAGACAAAGCAUUAGUAGACAAUUCACAGACCAAAUAUCAGAUCUUUUAAUAGAAUGGGUUUUCAACCUGGGCAAAUCUCAAGGAGAGUUUUCUGUUAGUGUCCAUGGGGAAAUAGUUCUUUGUAGAUAAAGUGAAAACGUCAUAGAUUUGGAAGGAAGUUGGAAUUAGAAAGAAGCAGCUCAGAAAUGGAGAUGCUCACUUUUCCUAUACACAUUCUUUGUUCCUAUACAACCAAAGCUUUGUACUUCUGUUUAUCCAAUUGUCAAAUGAAGAUGGUGCCACAUGUUCCAACUCUCAGUCUGGAAGGGGCUAAGUGAAAAACAUGGAUGCAUUAGACAUGGGAAGUUCUAAGAAAGUAGAAGAGCUGUAUUAAUGUCAGGCAGUUUGAUGUUGUUUAACUUUUUGUCAAGUAAGUCAACCUCUCUGGUCUUAUUGACGUUUGUGGUCCUAGCCAAUUUCCUCAUGUCAGCUUCAUGGUCAUUUGCAUGUGUAUUUUUUGGUUUUACCUUCCUGUCCUUUGCCAGAUUCUGGAUGUCCCUUCUACUUUUUCCAUGCAUAAUAAAACCAAACAAAACUGUAUUUGGACCAAUAUUUUAUCCAGGAUCCCCCACCCCAAGCAGUAUUAGGGUAAAAAUACAUCAACAUUUGGAAUCUUAGAUGUCAAGAUUCUCACCAAUUUAGGCCAUUAUUUUUCAAAAUGCAACAAUGGUCAUAUUACUAUGAUGAGAUUAUAGAUAGAGCUGCCAUGUAAGAUUGCACAGUUUGUGUACUGCACAAAGGUGCCCAUCCAGGAAGUGAGGGCUAACAACUAUCCAGACCCCACUCCACCUCUGCCUGAGGGAAAAGAUGUUUUUCUGCACCUUAUGAUUGUGAAGCCAUUUACUCAAGGUGCUGUGCCUGCCCAGAGAAAGCAUCCUUUUCCAAUUUGUACAAUAGUUGCAUACAGCCUAGAGAUCUUGAUUAUUUAGAUUUUGACAGAGGGGAAGAGGGGUGGGCAUGAGUGGGUGGACAUGAGUAGAGUAAUGGUCUAUUCUUUCUGCUUGACUCCAGCUCUGCCACCUCUGAGGCUACUGACUCUCCAGCAGCCUUUCCGGCUUCUCUCUCUUCCCAUCACACAUUUUUCCUCUCCACACUUUUUAUGCAGCUUCAUUCUUCUUUCUCCUCCCUUCCUAGUAUCUUUCUUUCCCUCUCAUCAUUUCCUGCCCUUUCCUCUCACUCCCAGGAGAUGGGCCGAUGGCCAAGUGCCAUCACUGUUAUAUUGACCUCCUUCUUGAGUCCUAGUCACCAAUAAUAUCACUAUAAUCACUUUGGAGUUUCUUCUCAUCAUCAAAUCUUGACACAAUUACAAAGUAGUAGAAGUCUUGCAUCUUUGCUUUAUCCUUUUCAAUACUCUGCCAGACACCCCCCUUUCCCAGCCAACAAGGGUCCAGAACUCCCAGUGUGGACAGAACUGAUAGUCUGUUAAACUUGUGUAAUAGUUCAUUAAACUGUUUAUGGCCAACCACAUUGCAUCUCCUGGGAGUGUUGUCAUUUAAAAAGCAGGUGCUUGGGAUACCAUGUUUUAGCCAUAAGGAAGGAAUCUCACAGGGGAGAAUUCAGAGCAGCUUUCUAGCUGAGGUGAAUGAUGGACAAUUUUUUUGAUAGAAGCACCCCCUCAAACCUGUGCUUACUCUGCCUUAGGAUUUCUUUCAGGUAUUUUCACAGAUGAUCUUGAGACAAAAUUGCCAGCCUCCACACCUGCAUCUCUUCCUCCUUGCUGCUUAUAUAGCUGAGCUUAUAAUCUCUUCUCUAGAGAGCUCAUAUCAGAGCUUUCAAAUUGACUGUCCCGAAAGUCAUGACAACUAUUUUCUCAGCCAGACUCAUCCAGAAGCUUGGAAGUCCAGCAACUACCCUUCCUUUAAUGUUAGCAGAACUCCUCAAACUCCUCUAUUUAAGUACUCCUAAUGCAAGAGUGAAACUGGAGGUUUGGGAGGGCUCAGAAGAGCAGGAUCCGAAAGGCCCCACCCUCAGCAUGAAGUUUCUUUUUAAGUCACUGUUUUUCUUCCUAUUUUUGUCAAUUUUGCAUUCUAUUCUAUAAUACAUCCAUUUUUGUUUUGAAGUAAAAAUUACAUUUCCCCAAGUCUUCAAGCAAAAUUGAUCCUGCAGAAAGGUGCUUGUUUAUUCUGCAGCUUCUGGAACCCUCAGGCCCUCCAGCUUGAGAAACUAGAAGCCUAGUUAAAAUCCAUAUUUCUUUGCAUGUUAUACAAGGACCUUCUUGACAGGUGCAUAUUUAUCUCUACAGUUCCAGUCCUCCAACCAGCUUCCUGCAGUCCAAGCACACUGAACUCCUUGAAAUUCUGUGACCAUCUUAGUGUUUCUUAUUUCAGAAAAAUUGCUUAUGCUGUUUCCUCAAACUAGAAUGUACUGUCCCCCAUCUCUCUGCCUAUCUUCUAGACCCAUCUGAAGGAUCAUAUUGCCCUGUGAAGCUCUCUAUGACAAGCCCCAACAGGCUGAAUAAGCUAUCCCUCCCUUUAUGCCACCAAAGUUCGCUCUUCUCCCAUAGUGUACAUGUCUCUUGAUUGUAAUUUGUUGCUUACGCUGCCCUUCUGCACUAGACUGUAAAUUGCUUCAGGGCAGGGUCUGUGUCUUAUUCCUCUUGGCCGUCGCUGGACCAGCACCAUGCCUGGCAAAUGGUAAGACAGGAGGUAAGUAUGGCUAUGACAUUUCACCCUAGUGCUCACCAGGGUUGACCUGGUUGAGCUGAAUGGACACGGGGAUGUCCCUGUCCUCUCUCUUUACUCCUCGAGUGUCCCUUCCAUUCUUUCUGUCAAAUAGGAUGGUCCCAGAUGAACAAAGACAUUCUAGCCAAGGAGUUUCAGAAACUUUCCAUCACUGAUGAGCCCUCCAAACAAGCUCUCCAGACCCAACACUUAGUAGGUUCUCAGUCAAUAUCUGCUAAAUAUUUUAAUGAACCAAUGAUCACCACAAUUGUUUCUCUGAUUAAGCAGUAUUAUAUUUUCUUAGUCUUAUCUUUCAGAGAUUCCUGAUGUCUAAAUCCCAGCGAUCUAACAAAAUAUCAACAUUUACUAUACAUUCAAUAAAAGUAUAAUAAGUAAAUAAAGAAAUGCACUAAUAUCUUCAUGUGUCCUUUCAUGUUUCUUAAAAUGUAUAUGCACAAACAGGGCAUGGUGGCUCAAGCCUAUAAUCCCAGCACUUUGGGAGGCUGAGAUGGGGGAUCACUUGAGGCCAGGAGUUUGAGACCAGCCUGGCCAACAGGGCAAAACUCCCAUCUCUACUAAAAAAAAAAAAAAAAAAAAAGCCAGCCUCCGUGGCUCACAACUGUAAUCCCAGCACUUUGGGAGGCUGAGGCGGGCGGAUCAUUUGAGGUCAGGAGUUCGAUACCAGCCUGGCCAACAUGGUGAAACCCCGUCUCUACUGAAAAUACAAAAAUUAGCCGGGCACAGUGGCAUGUGCCUGUAAUCCCAGGUAUUUGAGAGGCUGAGACAGGAGAAUCACUUGAACCUGGGAGGCAGAGGUUGCAGUGAGCCAAGAUCUCACCACUGCACUCCAGCCUGUGCAACAGAGCAAGACUCUGUCUCAAAAAAAAAAAAAAAAAAAAGUACAUGCACUUCCUAUUUUAACUUACUACCCUAACACCUGAUAUGUUUACCAGCCUGCUAAGGAACAAAGAACUGGGUUGCCACUCAGAAAUAAAAUUUCGACAAAUGGGUGAUGAUCAAAAUUUCUUUCUGAAAACCUUACCGGUUACCAGUGUGAUUAUCUUUUUUAAAUUACAGGCUCCAUUAGGAGUAGAACUUUUUUGAGUAGCUAUGAUCUCCACCAUGGCUAAUAUAAUUUAAUAUUUAUAAUACCAUUGUCCUCAAGGUAAGGACCACCUCUCAGUAUAAAUGCUCAACAGAUGUGGUGUUGAAGCAUGGCACUACUCUUAGGCAUUUUUCAUUUGUUUGUUUUUUUGAGACUGAGUCUCGCUCUCUAUCGCCCAGGCUGGAGUGCAGUAGCACGAUCUCAGCUCACUGCAACCUCCACCUCCCAGGUUCAAGUGAUUC
RNAcentral lists this long non-coding RNA (7457 nucleotides) under Homo sapiens (human). RNAcentral describes it as "HSALNT0109568". The stretch from base 6087 to 6390 matches the Rfam family "7SK RNA". Lineage: Eukaryota; Metazoa; Chordata; Mammalia; Primates; Hominidae. The record is from RNAcentral.